AUGUCUAAGCACAAGCCUAUUUGGGCAAAGCCGCGAAUGGCUCAUUACAACAGCCACUGUUCACUUGGUCUUGACUAUCCUACUUGGAUAACUGUGGUAAUUCUAGAGCUAAUACACGCUACCGGGCUCUGACCUGCGAAGGGACGAGCGCAUUUAUUAGAACAAAACCAAUCAGUUGUCGCUGUAACAGGUGUCAUCUGGCAUCUGGUGAAUCUGAAUAACCGAGCCGAUCGUACGGUCUUCGUACCGACGACGUAUCUUUCAAGUGUCUGCCUUAUCAACUGUCGAUGGUAGUUUCUGUGCCUACCAUGGUUGUAACGGGUAACGGAGAAUAAGGGUUCGACUCCGGAGAGGGAGCCUGAGAGACGGCUACCACAUCCAAGGAAGGCAGCAGGCGCGCAAAUUACCCACUCUCAGCACGAGGAGGUAGUGACGAAAAAUAACGAGCCGGUUCUCUAUGAGGCCCGGUAUCGGAAUGGGUACAACCCAAAACCUUUAACGAGGACCAAUGAGAGGGCAAGUCUGGUGCCAGCAGCCGCGGUAAUUCCAGCUCUCAAGGUGUAUAUCGCCAUUGCUGCGGUUAAAAAGCUCGUAGUUGGAUCUGCGCCGGCGGACGCGGUCCGCCCAAGUGGCGAGAACUGCGCUCCACGGCUUCAGUGCCGGUCUUCGGUCGGUGUCCUUCACCGGAUGCCGUCGCCGAGGCUGGCGAGUUUACUUUGAAAAAAUUAGAGUGCUCAAAACAGGCGUUUCGCCUGCAUACCGGUGCAUGGAAUAAUAGAACAGGACCUCGGUCCGUUUUGUUGGUUUCGGAACUGAGAUAAUGGUUAAGAGGGACUGACGGGGGCAUUCGUAUCGCUGCGUGAGAGGUGAAAUUCUUGGACCGUAGCGAGACGCCCUACUGCGAAAGCAUUUGCCAAGAAUGUCUUCAUUAAUCAAGAACGAAAGUCAGAGGUUCGAAGGCGAUCAGAUACCGCCCUAGUUCUGACCGUAAACGAUGCCAACUAGCGAUCCGCCGGCGGUAAAUCUGCCUCAGCGGGGAGCUUCCCGGAAACGAAAGUCUUCCGGUUCCGGGGGAAGUAUGGUUGCAAAGCUGAAACUUAAAGGAAUUGACGGAAGGGCACCACCAGGAGUGGAGCCUGCGGCUUAAUUUGACUCAACACGGGAAAACUCACCCGGCCCGGACACUGUAAGGAUUGACAGAUCGAGAGCUCUUUCUUGAUUCGGUGGUUGGUGGUGCAUGGCCGUUCUUAGUUGGUGGAGCGAUUUGUCUGGUUUAUUCCGAUAACGAACGAGACUCCGGCCUACUAAAUAGUGACGGGAUCCGCUCUCGUCCUGCUAACUUCUUAGAGGGAUUAACGGCUGGAAGCCGUAUGAAAAGGAGCAAUAACAGGUCUGUGAUGCCCUUAGAUGUUCGGGGCUGCACGCGCGCUACACUGGAGGAAUCAGCGUGCUCUUGCCAUUGUCGAAAGGCAUUGGUAAACCGAUGAAAAUCCUCCGUGAUCGGGAUCGGGAAUUGCAAUUAUUUCCCUUGAACGAGGAAUUCCCAGUAAAUGCGGGUCAUAAGCUCGCGUUGAUUACGUCCCUGCCCUUUGUACACACCGCCCGUCGCUGCCCGGGACUGAGCCGUUUCGAGAAAUCCGGGGACUGCGCCUGGUCGCCGUUUCGGCGGUGCGAGAACCGCAUUGAUCGCAGUGGCUUGAACCGGGC
Molecule: ribosomal RNA, 1707 nt
Filed under: Paraphanolaimus behningi
Lineage: Eukaryota; Metazoa; Nematoda; Chromadorea; Plectida; Aphanolaimidae
Description: SSU rRNA
Rfam family: Eukaryotic small subunit ribosomal RNA
Source: RNAcentral